This 401-nucleotide ribosomal RNA is filed under the name Crustacea environmental sample. Its description in RNAcentral is "partial small subunit ribosomal RNA". It matches the Rfam family "Eukaryotic small subunit ribosomal RNA", at positions 30 to 432 of the family's 1831-position model. Lineage: Eukaryota; Metazoa; Arthropoda. The record is from RNAcentral.
GCUUGUCUCAAAGAUUAAGCCAUGCAUGUCUAAGAAUAAGCCCUAGAAUGGUGAAUCUGCGAAUGGCUCAUUAAAUCAGUUAUUGUUUAUUUGAUGGUACCUUACUACUUGGAUAACCGUAGUAAUUCUAGAGCUAAUACAUGCGUCAAGCCCCGACUUCGGAAGGGGUGCAUUUAUUAGAUCAAAACCAAACGGCUUCGGCCGUCUCAUUGGUGACUCUGAAUAACUUUGGGCUGAUCGUAUGGCCUUGUGCCGACGACGUUUCCUUCGAAGGUGUGCCCUAUCAACUGUCGACUGUGAUAUAGACGCUCACAGUGGUUUUGACGGGUAACGGGGAAUCAGGGUUCGAUUCCGGAGAGGGAGCCUUAAAAACGGCUACCACAUCCAAGGAAGGCAGCAGG